This 69-nucleotide transfer RNA is filed under the name Ophiopholis aculeata (daisy brittle star). RNAcentral's name for it is "tRNA-Ser". The record is from RNAcentral. Lineage: Eukaryota; Metazoa; Echinodermata; Ophiuroidea; Amphilepidida; Ophiactidae.
CGAGAGUCAUGGUAUUGUUCUAGGCCCGCUAAGUCAAAGAACUCGCGACUAAACUUGCGUAUACUCUGC